Molecule: transfer-messenger RNA, 362 nt
Filed under: Planctomycetaceae bacterium TMED10
Lineage: Bacteria; Pseudomonadati; Planctomycetota; Planctomycetia; Planctomycetales; Planctomycetaceae
Also listed under: 3 other names
Rfam family: transfer-messenger RNA
About the family: Bacterial tmRNA, also known as 10Sa RNA or SsrA, is named for its dual tRNA and mRNA-like properties. Its role is to liberate the mRNA from a stalled ribosome.
Source: RNAcentral
GGGGGCGAACUGGGUUCGACCGGAUAGCCUGAAGUGAAAGUGGCGUGCCGUGGUUGGUCAGUUGGCCACGUUAAAAGCUGACCGCAUAUUUUAUUUGCCGAAGGUAACUUCGCACUGGCCGCCUAGAGAUAGGCGUCCCCGGCUGAUGGCUUUCGUCGGAGAGGCCUGAAAGCUGGUCACCAAUUCCGAAUCGCCUGAAGUCACUGCCGGACACGCUUCAGGCUAAAUUAGUUUCUGGCGAGCGCGGGUGGCAUCCUGUCGAUUGGAGUCCACGCGAGCGAGAAUUAAAUAAUCGACUACGCGCGUAGAAGCUUUCAUGAAAAUGUCGCGGGACGCGGGUUCGAUUCCCGCCGCCUCCACUG